GGACGCCUACGGGGGGCAGCAGUGAGGAAUAUUGGUCAAUGGUCGGGAGACUGAACCAGCCACGCCGCGUGAGGGAGGAAGGUACAGAGUAUCGUAAACCUCUUUUGUCAGGGAACAAAGGCGGGGACGUGUCCCCGGAUGAGUGUACCUGAAGAAAAAGCAUCGGCUAACUCCGUGCCAGCAGCCGCGGUAAUACGGAGGAUGCGAGCGUUAUCCGGAUUUAUUGGGUUUAAAGGGUGCGUAGGCGGGCUGUUAAGUCAGCGGUAAAAACCCGGGGCUCAACCCCGGCGAGCCGUUGAAACUGG
Molecule: ribosomal RNA, 305 nt
Filed under: uncultured bacterium
Lineage: Bacteria
Description: bacterial SSU rRNA
Rfam family: Bacterial small subunit ribosomal RNA
Source: RNAcentral